This 220-nucleotide long non-coding RNA is filed under the name Elaeis guineensis (African oil palm). RNAcentral describes it as "long non-coding RNA (EGUI_LNC052464)". The record is from RNAcentral. Lineage: Eukaryota; Viridiplantae; Streptophyta; Magnoliopsida; Arecales; Arecaceae.
UCCAUUGAUUAGAGGGCCUUUAGUUCUUAUAUGGAGUGUCUCUUGGGUGCAAAAGAGGAUGUCAAAUUAUGGAUGCAAGGGCUCCAAUAGUUAGCACCUAAUGGGCUUCCUAAUGUAAGUUGGAUAACUUAAGUUAAUAGGAAUUCUAAUGCAAGUAGGACUUGUAUUUUGAAAUUGAAUAUGAUUCAAUCUCUGUGCCUAUAAAAAGGAACCUCCCCUA